This is a long non-coding RNA of Fundulus heteroclitus (mummichog), 575 nucleotides long. RefSeq lists it as uncharacterized. NCBI's taxonomy places the organism in Eukaryota, Metazoa, Chordata, Actinopteri, Cyprinodontiformes, Fundulidae. The record is from RefSeq and is a predicted model, not a curated record. The transcript has 5 exons.
AAGAAGAAAAAAAAACGUGCUGAGCGCUCCGCUACUGUGUUCAUGUCCUCUUCUGAGCCUGAAGAUGAAAUAAAACCACAACUGCUGUAAGCAGGACGCCGUCUUCACAACUCGGAGACAAAUUGCAGGCGCUAUGAACCGGAGCAAGGACUAAGCACGCCUCAUAAUGAGGCGGUGACCUCCUAUUUGCUCUGAGCAAUAACUGCAAGUCCAAUUUACACGAUGUUGAUAAAGACGACAUUGUGUCCGCUUGUAAGACGUAUUAUGAGACGGUACGCAGGAGCUGAAGCUGCCAAGAGUUCAGCUCGGAGUCGAGCUAGAAGAAAGAGGCUGCUGGAAUCGAGGCAGAGUGUGCAGGCGGAUGUGGAAGUGGAACUCUGGAAGUCCGCCACCAUCGACCUCAUGUCUGGCGAAGAAGAUGGCGUCGUUGGCGGAGUCUCCGGAGGGAUUGUACCAUAGACAUAAUAUAUAUGUCUAUGGAUUGUACGGCCGCCGUCUUUUCGUAGGGUUGUGCGCAAUUCUGUUCCCCCGUGAAAAUCUGUUUCCCCCGUGUCGGGAACGCGCUUUGCAGCCAU